This 482-nucleotide ribosomal RNA is filed under the name uncultured bacterium. RNAcentral describes it as "partial 16S ribosomal RNA". It matches the Rfam family "Bacterial small subunit ribosomal RNA", at positions 29 to 507 of the family's 1533-position model. The record is from RNAcentral.
ACGAACGCUGGCGGCGUGCUUCACACAUGCAAGUCGAACGCUGAAGCUCAGCUUUUGUUGGGUGGAUGAGUGGCGAACGGGUGAGUAACACGUGAGUAACCUGCCUCCUUCUUUGGGAUAACGCCCGGAAACGGGUGCUAAUACUGGAUAUUCACUGGUCUUCGCAUGGGGGUUGGUGGAAAGGGUUUUUCUGGUGGGGGAUGGGCUCGCGGCCUAUCAGCUUGUUGGUGGGGUGAUGGCCUACCAAGGCUUUGACGGGUAGCCGGCCUGAGAGGGUGACCGGUCACAUUGGGACUGAGAUACGGCCCAGACUCCUACGGGAGGCAGCAGUGGGGAAUAUGGCACAAUGGGCGCAAGCCUGAUGCAGCGACGCCGCGUGAGGGAUGGAGGCCUUCGGGUUGUGAACCUCUUUCGCUCAUGGUCAAGCCGCAACAAUGGUUGUGGUGAGGGUAGUGGGUAAAGAAGCGCCGGCUAACUACGUG